UCCUUCAUAGCCCAGUGGUUGGGGGCCGGUUUGUCCUCCUAGAGGUCACCGGUUCGACUCCCGCUUGUGGCGAA
Molecule: transfer RNA, 74 nt
Filed under: Helianthus annuus (common sunflower)
Lineage: Eukaryota; Viridiplantae; Streptophyta; Magnoliopsida; Asterales; Asteraceae
Description: tRNA HanXRQr2_Chr08g0338751
Source: RNAcentral